AUGCAAGUCGAGGGGCAGCAGGACGGUAGCUUGCUACUGUCGCUGGCGACCGGCGCACGGGUGAGUAACGCGUAUCCAACCUUCCCCUGAGUAGGGAAUAGCCCGGCGAAAGUCGGAUUAAUGCCCUAUGCUGUCCGACGAUAGCAUUUGAAUCGGAUGAAAGAUUUAUCGCUCAGGGAUGGGGAUGCGUCUGAUUAGGUUGCAGGCGGGGUAACGGCCCACCUGGCCGACGAUCAGUAGGGGUUCUGAGAGGAAGGUCCCCCACAUUGGAACUGAGACACGGUCCAAACUCCUACGGGAGGCAGCAGUGAGGAAUAUUGGUCAAUGGGCGAGAGCCUGAACCAGCCAAGUAGCGUGCAGGAUGACGGCCCUAUGGGUUGUAAACUGCUUUUAUAUGAGGAUAAAGUUCGUUACGUGUAACGUUUUGCAGGUAUCAUAUGAAUAAGGACCGGCUAAUUCCGUGCCAGCAGCCGCGGUAAUACGGAAGGUCCGGGCGUUAUCCGGAUUUAUUGGGUUUAAAGGGAGCGCAGACGGUCAGUUAAGCGUGCAGUUAAAUGAUGUGGCUCAACCAUGUUAUGCUGCGCGAACUGGCUGACUUGAGUUCACGGAACGUGGGCGGAAUUUGUGGUGUAGCGGUGAAAUGCUUAGAUAUCACGAAGAACUCCGAUUGCGAAGGCAGCCCGCGGCAGUGUUACUGACGUUCAUGCUCGAAGGUGCGGGUAUCGAACAGGAUUAGAUACCCUGGUAGUCCGCACGGUAAACGAUGGAUGCUCGCUGUCGGCGAUACAUUGUCGGCGGCCUAGUGAAAGCAUUAAGCAUCCCACCUGGGGAGUACGCCGGCAACGGUGAAACUCAAAGGAAUUGACGGGGGCCCGCACAAGCAGUGGAGUAUGUGGAUUAAUUCGAAGCAACGCGAAGAACCUUACCAGGUCUUGACAUCGUACGCAUAGCAUAGAGAUAUGUGAAAUCCCUUCGGGGACGUAUAGACAGGUGGUGCAUGGUUGUCGUCAGCUCGUGUCGUGAGAUGUUGGGUUAAGUCCCGCAACGAGCGCAACCCUUACUGUUAGUUGCUACGCAAGAGCACUCUAGCAGGACUGCCGUUGACAAAACGGAGGAAGGUGGGGAUGACGUCAAAUCAUCAUGCCCCUUAUGACCUGGGCCUCACACGUACUACAAUGGCUGCCAACAGAGGGAAGCGAAGCAGUGAUGCAGAGCAAAUCCCAAAAGCAGUCUUAGUUCGGAUUGCAGGCUGAAACUCGCCUGCAUGAAGUCGGAAUUGCUAGUAAUCGCAGAUCAGCAUGCUGCGGUGAAUACGAUCCCGGGCCUUGCACACACCGCCCGUCAAG
Molecule: ribosomal RNA, 1346 nt
Filed under: uncultured bacterium
Lineage: Bacteria
Description: bacterial SSU rRNA
Rfam family: Bacterial small subunit ribosomal RNA
Source: RNAcentral